UGUACUACAGCUGCCUUGUCCAAUAAGGAGCCAUGGAAGUCAAAUGCUGAGGAUGGUGGCAUCAUAGGAUGAAUGGAGCUGGGUUCUUGAAACACUGCCUGGAGGAAAGACAGCAAAAAUGCCUCAUGAAUCCAACUGGACUGUUAGGAUGCUCACCCUUGGAGACCAGCAACAAUGUGUGCAGAAACCCAGGCCAUGUGGAGAGGCCCCACAUACGUGUCCAACUGAGGUCCCAGCUGACAGCUGGCAUUGACAUGUGAGUGAGACUCUGAACGUUCCAGCUGAUGACAAGUACAGUUUGAGCGAGC
Molecule: long non-coding RNA, 308 nt
Filed under: Homo sapiens (human)
Lineage: Eukaryota; Metazoa; Chordata; Mammalia; Primates; Hominidae
Description: non-protein coding SNAP25-AS1:10
Source: RNAcentral